Molecule: long non-coding RNA, 1956 nt
Organism: Myxocyprinus asiaticus (Chinese sucker)
Lineage: Eukaryota; Metazoa; Chordata; Actinopteri; Cypriniformes; Catostomidae
Exons: 10
Source: RefSeq, a predicted model, not a curated record
CCCCGUCUAAAAGCAUAAGUUGUAGAAGUUGACAACUGUAGUGAGUACUGUACAUCGAUCUUCUAGAUCCGAGACAUCAGAAAUUUAAGGAACAGCAUUUUUUUUGCAUGUGCAGCAUUACGCAAUGAACUUGUGAGCUGAAUGAUAGUGCAAAACAAGUGCAAAUGUUGUAAAUAAUAUUUUUACUGCUCUGUGUUUCUUCUUUGACUGUCUGACUUUCAGUAAGUAAAAAAAAAAAAAAAAAAAAAAAUCUAAGAGAUAAAAUAAAGUAAAAAGUGAAAAGAAGUGUUUUCCAAUGAAGAAGGCAGUGUUGUUGAGUUUAUGGGGUGGUGAUGUGACCCCUCACCUUGCCAAGACUUUUCAGAAAUUUGAGGAAACCCUAUGUAUUUCAAGGGGUUUCAUAAAAAAUGUCAUUACAACACCUGGCAGUGAGAAUGCUCUGUAUCAUGCAGAGACAGGGAAGAUUACUCUGACUCAUUCAUUCAUUCAUCCAUUCAUUCAUGCAUAUUGUCCACGGGUUAUUAAUUAGAUUUUCCAGAGUUUGAAGCUGAAUGUCAGAAGGUGGCAGCCGAUCAGGGUUUGUCUUUACCUGCCCAGUUCUCGGUUGAGAAACUUUUAGAUUAAAUUAGGCAGGUGGAAUUCAACAAGCCAGUUCUUGAUGCUGCAGCUGUGCUUCGCCGCCAUGGCAUUGCCACCUUCGUCUUGAUUGAUAUCUGGGUGGAUGACACUGAGACCAUAUCGCUAGGAUUGUCGCUGUUCUGGAGAGCCGUUUUGACCUGGUUGUUCAUUCUUGUCAUGUUGGUGUCAGAAUACCUGAGCAUGAAAUCUUCAACAAUGCUCUCGAGAAACAACCUCAAGAAAUUUGGUCAUGGUUUUUGAGGAUGAAGACAUGUCACACAACCUGUCCAUGCUGGCAUCUGCUAAUUUGGCUAGAUUCUACCAAGUGACUGAUGCAUUGCAACCAAAGUACUGUUUGACGCACAGGCUUUGACGUCAACAACAAUAACAACAACAAAAAAGAGCAUUGUUUCCUCCCUCCUAUUUAAAAAUUCCUAAGACUAUUUAUUUAAGUAUAUUAACCAUGCACGAUUAUAUGGCUAAUUGCAUUUUCUUAUUUGCAUUUAGCAUUGUUUUUGUUUUGUUUUUUCAGAACAGACCUGAGACCCAUUUUGUGGGUCAUAGCCCACCAAUUAAGAGCCACUGUGCUGGAUGAAUAUUGUUCUGUCUUAUAAAUCAUUUAUGUUUUAAGGUGAUCUGGCUGGACGUUGGUGAAGAGAGCAUCGAGGCAGCUGAAGGUUUGGGAAUAACAGCUGUUCAGAUCAAUGACAUUACUGAAGCUCUUAAGGAAAUCCAAAAGCUUACAGGAAUAGUUUAUUCUAAACAAAUGAAUUCUAAUGCAUGAAUCCCAGUCCAUGCCAUUUUAGAACAGUUUGCUGUGUAGCAGCCUCUUGGAAACUUGUGUAAAAACAAAAAUGAUGACAAUGACAAGUUCUCUGUCUAAAGUUGUCGUUGGGUUGGCGUAUAUACUGAAACGGAAAACUGCUCAUCUUAACAGUUCACCAAAGAUGUUCAACCAAUGUUUUGUGAUCCUGAAAAUGUCAUUCAUGGAUAUGCAAAUAUUAAGCCUGGGGUGAAGAUCCACUACGUGGACAUGGGAGAUGGGCCACCUGUUCUUCUUUGCCAUGGGUUCCCAGAGAGUUGGUUCUCCUGGAGGUAUCAGGAUGCAAGUUCUAAAUUUAGCACCGCUGGGGUCUGUGAGAGAGGGGGCCUCUGAACUGGUACCGAAAUGGGGAGAGGAACUGGCAUUGGAUGUGUUCCAGGCCAAGGGAUCGUGAUGCCAGCUUUAAUGGUGACUGCAGGAAAGGACCCUGUACUUCUGUCUGUUUUUGCCACUGGCAUGGAGAACCUGGUUCCAAACUUCACGAGAGGCCACGCUGAGGAGUCAGAUGGAGAGUU